This 74-nucleotide transfer RNA is filed under the name bacterium. RNAcentral's name for it is "tRNA-Met". It matches the Rfam family "tRNA". Rfam says of the family: Transfer RNA (tRNA) molecules are approximately 80 nucleotides in length. Their secondary structure includes four short double-helical elements and three loops (D, anti-codon, and T loops). RNAcentral also lists the same sequence under 1 other name. The record is from RNAcentral.
GGCGGCGUAGCUCAGCUGGUUAGAGCACCGGAAUCAUAAUCCGGGUGUCCGGGGUUCGAGUCCCUGCGCCGCUA